This 345-nucleotide ribosomal RNA is filed under the name Triticum aestivum (bread wheat). Its description in RNAcentral is "partial small subunit ribosomal RNA". Lineage: Eukaryota; Viridiplantae; Streptophyta; Magnoliopsida; Poales; Poaceae. The record is from RNAcentral.
AUGCCUCCCAAAUUGCCAUGUCAGCCUCUAACUUUUUCACCCUUCCUAGCAAACCAUUGCUUGGCUAUGUUACCGCUUUGCUCAGCUCCUCUUAUAGCAUUAUUAGUUGCAGGUGAAGUUGAAGAUUGCUCCAUGAUGGAUAGGAUUAUGUUGGGAUAUCACAAUAUCUCUUAUUUAAUUAAUGCAUCUAUAUACUUGGUAAAGGGUGGAAGACUCGGCCUUAUGCCUGGUGUUUUGUUCCACUCUUGCCUCCCUAGUUUCCGUCAUAACAGUGUUAUGUUCCUUGAUUUUGCGUUCCUUACACGGUUGGGUGAUUUAUGGGACCCCCUUGACAGUUCGCUUUGA